GACGAACGCUGGCGGCGUGCUUGACACAUGCAAGUCGAACGGAAAGGCCUGCUUUCCCUUGUGGAUUGCGGGUACUCGAGUGGCGAACGGGUGAGUAACACGUGAGUGAUCUGCCCCCAACUUGGGUAUAAGCCUGGGAAACUGGGUCUAAUUCCCGAUAGGACUGCAGGGUGGUGCCUGUGGUGGAAAACGAUUUUCUAGUGGUUGGGGAUGAGCUCGCGGCCUAUCAGCUUGUUGGUGGGGUAAUGGCCUACCAAGGCGGCGACGGGUAGCCGGCCUGAGAGGGUGGACGGCCACAUUUGGACUGAGAUACGGCCCCGACUCCUACGGGAGGCAGCAGUGGGGAAUAUUGCACCAUGGGCGGAAGCCUGAUGCAGCGACGCCGCGUGGGGGAUUACGGCCUUCGGGUUGUAAACUCCUUUCGACCGCGAGGAAGCCACCUGGUUGGAAGGGUGGUGACGGUAGUGGUAGAAGAAGCACCGGCUAACUACGUG
Molecule: ribosomal RNA, 494 nt
Filed under: uncultured bacterium
Lineage: Bacteria
Description: partial 16S ribosomal RNA
Rfam family: Bacterial small subunit ribosomal RNA
Source: RNAcentral